Molecule: small nuclear RNA, 96 nt
Organism: Heterocephalus glaber (naked mole-rat)
Lineage: Eukaryota; Metazoa; Chordata; Mammalia; Rodentia; Bathyergidae
Source: Ensembl
UCACUUCCACAGUGGGUAUACUAUAAUUGGAAUAAUAAGAUUAGCAUGACCCCAGUCAAUCAUGACAUGCAAAUUCCUGAAGUGUUCUAUAGUUUU